Molecule: ribosomal RNA, 500 nt
Filed under: uncultured bacterium
Lineage: Bacteria
Description: partial 16S ribosomal RNA
Rfam family: Bacterial small subunit ribosomal RNA
Source: RNAcentral
AUUGAACGCUGGCGGCAGGCCUAACACAUGCAAGUCGAGCGGAUGACGGGAGCUUGCUCCUUGAUUCAGCGGCGGACGGGGGAGUAAUGCCUAGGAAUCUGCCUGGUAGUGGGGGACGACGUGUCGAAAGGAACGCUAAUACCGCAUACGUCCUACGGGAGAAAGCAGGGGACCUUCGGGCCUUGUGCUAUCAGGUGAGCCUAGGUCGGAUUAGCUAGUUGGUGGGGUAAUGGCUCACCAAGGCGACGAUCCGUAACUGGUCUGAGAGGAUGAUCAGUCACACUGGAACUGAGACACGGUCCAGACUCCUACGGGAGGCAGCAGUGGGGAAUAUUGGACAAUGGGCGAAAGCCUGAUCCAGCCAUGCCGCGUGUGUGAAGAAGGUCUUCGGAUUGUAAAGCACUUUAAGUUGGGAGGAAGGGCAGUAAGUUAAUACCUUGCUGUUUUGACGUUACCGACAGAAUAAGCACCGGCUAACUCUGUGCCAGCAGCCGCGGUAA